RNAcentral lists this ribosomal RNA (496 nucleotides) under uncultured bacterium. Its description in RNAcentral is "partial 16S ribosomal RNA". It matches the Rfam family "Bacterial small subunit ribosomal RNA", at positions 30 to 523 of the family's 1533-position model. The record is from RNAcentral.
AUUGAACGCUGGCGGCAUGCUUUACACAUGCAAGUCGAACGGUAGAGGGGGCAACCCCUUGAGAGUGGCGAACGGGUGAGUAAUGCAUCGGAACGUGCCCAGUCGUGGGGGAUAACGCAGCGAAAGCUGUGCUAAUACCGCAUACGAUCUCUGGAUGAAAGCGGGGGACCGAAAGGCCUUGCGCGAUUGGAGCGGCCGAUGUCAGAUUAGGUAGUUGGUGGGGUAAAGGCUCACCAAGCCAACAAUCUGUAGCUGGUCUGAGAGGACGACCAGCCACACUGGGACUGAGACACGGCCCAGACUCCUACGGGAGGCAGCAGUGGGGAAUUUUGGACAAUGGGCGCAAGCCUGGUCCAGCAAUGCCGCGUGAAGGAAGAAGGCCUUCGGGUUGUAAACUGCUUUUGUACGGAACGAAAAGGCCUGGGUUAAUACCCUGGGCACAUGACGGUACCGUAAGAAUAAGCACCGGCUAACUACGUGCCAGCAGCCGCAGUAA